RNAcentral lists this ribosomal RNA (484 nucleotides) under uncultured bacterium. RNAcentral describes it as "partial 16S ribosomal RNA". It matches the Rfam family "Bacterial small subunit ribosomal RNA", at positions 30 to 507 of the family's 1533-position model. The record is from RNAcentral.
AUUGAACGCUGGCGGCAGGCCUAACACAUGCAAGUCGAGCGGAUGAAGGGAGCUUUCUCCUGGAUUCAGCGGCGGACGGGUGUGUAAUGCCUAGGAAUCUGCCUUGUAUUGUUUUAUAACGUCCGGAAACGGGCGCUAAUACCGCAUACGUCCUGAUGGUGAAAGUGGGGGAUCUUCGGACCUCACGCUAUCAUAUGAGCCUAGGUCGGAUUUGCUAGUUGGUUGGGUAAAGGCCUACCAAGGCGACGAUCCGUAACUGGUCUGAGAGGAUGAUCAGUCACACUGGAACUGAGACACGGUCCAGACUCCUACGGGAGGCAGCAGUGGGGAAUAUUGGACAAUGGGCGAAAGACUGAUACAGCAAUGGGGAGUGUGUGAAGAAGGUCUUCGGAUUGUAAAGCACUUUAAGUUGGGAGGAAGGGAAGUAAGUUAAUACCUUGAUGUAUUGACGUUAACAAAAGAAUAAGCACCGGCUAACUACGUG